This 1086-nucleotide ribosomal RNA is filed under the name uncultured archaeon. Its description in RNAcentral is "bacterial SSU rRNA". It matches the Rfam family "Archaeal small subunit ribosomal RNA", at positions 1 to 1094 of the family's 1478-position model. The record is from RNAcentral.
CAUUGAGGUCACUGCUAUUGGGAUUCGACUAAGCCAUGCGAGUCGAGAGGGUUCGGCCCUCGGCUGACGGCUCAGUAACACGUGGAUAAUCUGCCCUAAGGUGGAGGAUAACCUCGGGAAACUGAGAAUAAUACUCCAUAGGUCUAGGAUACUGGAAUGUACUUAGACUCAAAACUUCGGUGCCUUAGGAUGAGUCUGCGGACUAUCAGGUUGUAGUCAGGGUAAUGACCUGACUAGCCUACGACGGAUACGGGUUGUGAGAGCAAUAACCCGGAGAUGAUAUCUGAGACACGAUAUCAGGCCCUACGGGGCGCAGCAGGCGCGAAAACUUCACACUGCGCGAAAGCGCGAUGAGGGGAUCCCAAGUGCAUGCACGUAAGUGUAUGCUGUUUCUUUGUUUAAAAAGCAUAGAGAGUAAGGGCUGGGUAAGACGGGUGCCAGCCGCCGCGGUAAUACCUGCAGCUCAAGUGGUGAUCGUUAUUAUUGGGCCUAAAACGUCCGUAGCCGGUUUAGUAAAUGCCUGGGUAAAUCGUGCCGCUCAACGGUACGAAUUCCGGGUAGACUGCUAAACUUGGGACCGGGAGAGGCUAGAGGUACUCCUGGGGUAGAGGUGAAAUUCUGUAAUCCUGGGGGGACCACCAGUGGCGAAGGCGUCUAGCUAGAACAGGUCUGACGGUGAGGGACGAAGCCCUGGGGCGCAAACCGGAUUAGAUACCCGGGUAGUCCAGGGUGUAAACGCUGCUUGCUUGAUGUUAGUCGGGCUCCGAGCCCGAUUAGUGUCGGAGAGAAGUUGUUAAGCAGCUGCCUGGGGAAGUACGGUCGCAAGACUGAAACUUAAAGGAAUUGGCGGGGAGCACAGCAACGGGGUGGAGGCGGUGGCGGUUUAAAUUGGAUUUCAACGCGGAAAACUCACCGGAGGCCGACGGUUUACAUGAAGGUCAGCUGAUGACCUUACCUCGGAUUUUCCGAGAGGUUGUGCAUGGCCGGCCGUCCAGGUUCGUACCGUUAAGGGCGGUUCAGUUUUAAGUUCAGACACGACCGGAGAACCUUAAUCUUUAUUGCCUGACCUGGUAGAUGUUCGGGCGU